This 253-nucleotide ribosomal RNA is filed under the name uncultured bacterium. Its description in RNAcentral is "partial 16S ribosomal RNA". It matches the Rfam family "Bacterial small subunit ribosomal RNA", at positions 524 to 776 of the family's 1533-position model. The record is from RNAcentral.
UACGAAGGGGGCUAGCGUUGUUCGGGCUCACUGGGCGUAAAGCGCACGCAGGCGGAUCGAUAAGUCGGGGGUGAAAGCCCGGGGCUCAACCUCGGAAUUGCCUUCGAUACUGUCAGGCUCGAGUCCGGGAGAGGUGAGUGGAAUUCCUGGUGUAGAGGUGAAAUUCGUAGAUAUUGGGAAGAACACCGGUGGCGAAGGCGGCUUCCUGGAUCGAUACUGACGCUGAGACGCGAAAGCGUGGGGAGCAAACAGG